This 492-nucleotide ribosomal RNA is filed under the name uncultured bacterium. RNAcentral's name for it is "partial 16S ribosomal RNA". It matches the Rfam family "Bacterial small subunit ribosomal RNA", at positions 29 to 507 of the family's 1533-position model. The record is from RNAcentral.
AGUGAACGCUGGCGGUAGGCCUAACACAUGCAAGUCGAACGGCAGCACAGUAAGAGCUUGCUCUUACGGGUGGCGAGUGGCGGACGGGUGAGGAAUACAUCGGAAUCUACUUUUUCGUGGGGGAUAACGUAGGGAAACUUACGCUAAUACCGCAUACGACCUACGGGUGAAAGCAGGGGAUCUUCGGACCUUGCGCGAUUGAAUGAGCCGAUGUCGGAUUAGCUAGUUGGCGGGGUAAAGGCCCACCAAGGCGACGAUCCGUAGCUGGUCUGAGAGGAUGAUCAGCCACACUGGAACUGAGACACGGUCCAGACUCCUACGGGAGGCAGCAGUGGGGAAUAUUGGACAAUGGGCGCAAGCCUGAUCCAGCCAUACCGCGUGGGUGAAGAAGGCCUUCGGGUUGUAAAGCCCUUCUGUUGGGAAAGAAGAGCAGCAGGUUAAUACCCCGAUGUUCUGACGGUACCCAAAGAAUAAGCACCGGCUAACUUCGUG